GGGCAUACCCGUAGACCUUGUCUGACUGUACUCAUGGCCAGACAGGGGGGACAGUGUAUGCAAGAGUAAUUUGGAGUUCAUGCAUGCUCUACCCUGCUUAAUUAGUGGCUGGAUAUAUUGCAGUACUCCAACACUC
This is a small nucleolar RNA of Talpa occidentalis (Iberian mole), 136 nucleotides long. RefSeq annotates it as small nucleolar RNA SNORA58. The transcript has a single exon. Lineage: Eukaryota; Metazoa; Chordata; Mammalia; Eulipotyphla; Talpidae. The record is from RefSeq and is a predicted model, not a curated record.